AAGUAGAGAGCAAUUGCAAGUGAGUUCUUUGAGAGAAAUUGAUAGAGCUUCCACUUGAGUGUUCUAGUGAGGUUCCAUUUGGGUGUAUUGGGGUUGUGGGUUUUGUGAGUUUUUCCCACUUUUGUAAAUUCCAAUUUGUUAGUAAAAUUAUCUUCCAAUUUUUUCCCGUAGACGUAGGCAUUACGCCGAACCACGUAAUUUAUUGUGUCCUAUUUUCUUUGCAUUUGUUUAUCACCACAUUUAUAUUUCUCUAGAAGUUACAGUAUUAGUAAUUGCUCAACCCACGUUUCCGCAACAAGUGGUAUCAGAGCCGACGGUUCGUACUUGGGGGGAUACGAUACUAUUCACGUAUACGGUACUGUUCACAUAUACGGUACUAUUUCUAUAUACGGUACUGUUCACAAAUACGGUGGAGACAAUCAUUUAUACUUGGGAGACAGUCUAUUGUAAGUAGUGUGUAUUUUUGCAUGUCUAGGAAAGUUCUGUCAACAAAGGCGAUAAAAGUCUAAGGAUUCUGGUUUUUAAUUGGGACCGAGUUCCCGUCCAGUCUCCUGGGAACUUUCCCGGUGCAUUUAUUCACGCGAAAUAAACAUCAUAGAGGCUGUUUUUUAAGUGUAAAUAGUUGUUGCAGAAACUGAUCAUUUGAGAUAAAAAGGAUGACAAAGGCAUCGUCGUUGUCUUCAUCAGUGAGAACUACUGUGACUAAUGCAAAGUUUGAAGUGAAGAAAUUCGAUGGUACCAAUAAUUUUGGUAUAUGGCAAUGUGAGGUGUUGGAUGUCUUAUGUCAACAAGAGUUGGACGUUGCUCUUGAAGAAAAGCCUGACGUGAUGGAUGACAAGGAAUGGAUAAAAAUCAAUAGACAGGCAUGUGGUACUAUUCGCCUAUGUCUGGCUAAAGAUCAGAAAUACUCUGUCAUGAGGGAGACAUCGGCAAAGAAAUUGUGGGAGACACUGGAAGAAAAGUAUAUGAAGAAAAGUCUUGAAAAUAGGCUUUAUAUGAAAAAGAAACUCUAUCGAUUUACAUAUACACAUGGCAUGUCAAUGAAUGACCACGCGAACUCAUUCAACAAGAUAUUAGCGGAUUUGCUAAAUCUGGAUGAGAGAUUUGAAGAUGAAGAUAAGGCAUUGUUGUUGUUGAAUUCACUUCCUGAUAAAUAUGAUCAUCUCACCACCACUUUGCUUCAUGGGAAGGACAGUGUCACGUUCGAUGCUGUAUGCAGUGCAUUGUACAACUCUGAGACCAGAAAGAAAGAUAGAAAGGAUCACAGAGAUACAGUUACAGAAGCACUGACAGCGAGAGGUCGUUCGCAAAGCCGCAAACCUGGAAAAAGGAACAAGUCUAAAGGGAGACCUGCUAAAGAUGAAUGUGCCUUUUUGUCGCGAGAAAGGGCAUUGGAAAAAGAAUUGUCCUAAGUUACAAAAGGGCAAGGCUACUUCUGAUGCAUGUGUAGCAGAGCAUGAUGAGGAGUCAGACUUUAGUCUGGUUGGCAUGACAUUGAUAUGUCACUCAGAUGAGUGGAUUUUGGAUUCAGGUUGUACUUAUCAUAUGUGUCCUAACAAGGGCUGGUUUUUAACUUCAAGGAGCUAGACGGUGGAGUUGUUUUUAUGGGCAAUGACAAUGCUUGUAAAACCAUGGGAAUAGGUACAAUCCAAUUAAAGAAUCAUGAUGGCUCAAUUCAAGUUUUGACAGAUGUUCGUUAUGUACCAAGCUUGAAGAAAAAUCUCAUCUCAUUAGGAGUCCUAGAAUCUAAAGGGCUCACAAUCACUUUAAGAUAUGGAUUGUUGAAGGUAGUAGCUGGGGCGCUGACGGUAAUGAAAGGCACAAGAAGAAAUAACUUGUACUAUUUCCAAGGAAGUACAGUUAUUGGAUCAGCAUCAAUAGUUUCUGGAAAAGAUGCAGAUUUAGAAGCAACCAAGUUGUGGCAUAUGCGUUUGGGACAUACUGGUGAAAAAGCUUUGCAGACUUUAGCGAAGCAAGGCUUAUUGAAAGGUACAAAUUCUUGCAAAUUAGAAUUUUGUGAACAUUGUGUUCUGGGCAAGCAGACAAGGGUAAAGUUUGGUUCAGCAAUUCAUGAUACAAAAGGAAUUCUGGACUAUGUUCACAGUGAUGUGUGGGGACUUACCAAAACAGCUUCUUUGGGAGGUAUGCACUAUUUUGUUACUUUUGUUGAUGAUUAUUCAAGAAAAGUGUGGGUGUAUUUGAUGAAGAACAAAAAUGAAGUUUUGGGCAUAUUUCUGAAAUGGAAGAAAAUGGUCGAGACUCAGACUGGUCGAAAGAUCAAAAGACUUCGCUCAGACAAUAGUGGUGAGUACAAGAAUGAUCCAUUUCUUCAAAUAUGCCAAGAUGAGGGUAUUGUGCGACAUUUCACUGUUCGAGAUACACCACAACAGAAUGGGGUGGUAGAACGCAUGAACCGGACUAUACUGGAGAAAGUUCGGUGUAUGUUGUCCAAUGCUGGAUUGGGCAAAGAGUUUUGGGCUGAGGCAGUUGUAUAUGCGUGCCAUCUGAUCAACCGUUUGCCAUCAACUGCAAUUGAGGGUAGAACACCCAUGGAGAUGUGGACUGGUAAACCUACUACUGAUUAUAAUUCUUUACAUGUUUUUGGUUGCACUGUUUAUUAUCAUGUAAAAGAAUCUAAGUUAGACCCAAGAGCAAAUAAAGCAUUCUUCAUGAGUAUAAUUGGUGGAGUAAAAGGAUACCGUCUCUGGUGUCCUAUUACGAAGAAGAUUAUUUUCAGUAGAGAUGUAACUUUUGAUGAAUCAGCCAUGUUGAAACAAAAAGAUUCUCAAGAGGAUGACAAGACCAGUAGCACUUUGCAGUAGGUGGAGUUUGAAAAAGUUAAAACUGAUCCAGCUGGUGUCGAUGAGAUGGAUAAUGAUUAUCCAUCGACUAAUGAUGAUGAAGAGGUUCUGACCCAGGAACCUUCACAACAACAAGAUUCAAUUGCAUAUAGAAGGCCACGCAGAGAGAUUCACAGACCUGCUCGCUUUGUUGAUAUGGUGGCCUAUGCACUUCCAAUUGUAGAUGAUGAUGUUCCUUCCACUUAUAGAGAAGCAGUAAGUAACCCAGAAAAUAUACAGUGGAAGAAAGCAAUGAACGAAGAAAUGCAAUCUCUUCACAAAAAUGAAACUUGGGAGUUAGUUACACUGCCCAAGGAAAAAAAGGCGAUUGGGUGCAAAUGGGUAUAUGCAAAAAAAGGAAGGAUUUCCUCGUAAAAAUUAAAUUCGAUACAAGGCUAGAUUGGUAGCAAAGGGUUACGCUCAGAAGGAAGGAAUAGACUAUAAUGUGGUAUUUUCUCCAGUUGUGAAACACUCGUUUAUUCGAAUUUUGCUAGCCAUGGUUGCACAAUUUGAUCUUGAACUAGUUCAACUUGAUGUAAAAAUUGCAUUUUUACAUGGUGAUUUAGAAGAGGAAAUAUACAUUACUCAGCCAGAUGGAUUCAAGGUUGCUGGAAAAGAAAAUUGGGUUUGCAAAUUGACAAAGUCGCUUUAUGGGUUAAGGAAGGAAUAGACUACAAUGAGGUAUUUUCUCCAGUUGUGAAACAUUCGUCUAUUCGAAUUUUGCUAGCCAUGGUUGCACAAUUUGAUCUUGAACUAGUUCAACUUGAUGUAAAAACUGUAUUUUUACAUGGUAAUUUGGAAGAGGAAAUCUAAAUGACUCAGCCAGAUGGAUACAAGGUUGCUGGAAAAGAAAAUUGGGUUUGCAAAUUGACAAAGUCGCUUUAUGGGUUGAAACAAUCUCCGAGGCAGUGGUACAAGCGAUUUGAUCAAUUUAUGAAAGGGCAAAAGUACACAAGAAACAAAUUUGAUCAUUGUGUGUAUUUUCGCAAGCUACAAGAAGGAUCUUUCAUUUAUUUGCUAUUGUAUGUCGAUGAUAUGCUAAUAGCAUCGAAGAGCAAAUAUGAGAUAGAGAAGUUGAAAACUCAACUCAACCAAGAGUUUUAGAUGAAAGAUCUGGGUGAAGCUAAGAAGAUUCUUGGCAUGGAAAUAUGCAGAGAUAGAGCUCGUGGUAAAGUAAGCUUGUCUCAGAAGCAAUAUUUGAAUAAGGUACUACAACAGUUUGGUAUGAUUGAGCAAACAAAACCUGUGAGUACCCCGUUGGCUUCUCAUUUUAAGCUUUCUGCACAAUUAUCUCCUUCAAUAGAUGCAGAACGAGAAUACAUGUUACAAGUUCCGUAUUCAAAUGCAGUGGGUAGCUUGAUGUAUGCAAUGGUGUGUACGAGGCCUGACAUUUCACAUGCAGUUGGUAUAGUGAGCAGAUAUAUGCAUAAUCCUGGUAAAGGACAUUGGCAAGCUGUGAAAUGGAUUCUACGGUAUAUUAAGAAGACCAUGGAUGUUGAUUUACUGUUUGAAAGAGACGAUACACUUGGUCAAGGUGUGAUCGGGUACGUUGAUUCUGAUUAUGCUAGUAAUUUGGACAAACGACGGUCAACCACCGACUUUUAAGAGGCUAUUUAGUUACAAGGUUUGCUUGAAAACUUGGGAUUGGCACAGGAGCACAUUAAUGUGUAUUGCGAUAGUCAGAGUGCUAUUCACUUAACGAAGAACCAAGUUUAUCAUGCGCGUACGAAGCACAUCGAUGUACGAUUUCACUUUGUGCGGGAAAUUGUUAAUGAGGGGAAAAUUCUUUUUCAGAAAAUCAAGACUGCAGAGAACCCCGCAGAUAUGUUCACUAAGGUGGUGACGACGAUCAAGUUUGAGCAUUGUCUAAACUUGAUCAACAUCCUACAAGUUUAAGAGGUUGGUGGCACAAAUAUUUGACAAGUUGUUGCCAUGCAUGCAUUCAACUUUGGAGAAGCAAAUUUGAAGACAAAUUCACAAGGUAGGUGCCUAAUUUAUGUUGACAACUUUGUUGGGGUUUGUGCAAUAGUGCACCCCAUUUUUCUUUAUAAAUAGAAGGCAAUUCCUCAUUUGUUAAUCAUCCCAACUUGAGAGAAGUAGAGAGCAAUUGCAAGUGAGUUCUUUGAGAGAAAUUGAUAGAGCUUCCACUUGAGUGUUCUAGUGAGGUUCCAUUUGGGUGUAUUGGGGUUGUGGGUUUUGUGAGUUUUUCCCACUUUUGUAAAUUCCAAUUUGUUAGUAAAAUUAUCUUCCAAUUUUUGCCCGUGGACGUAGGCAUUACGCCGAACCACGUAAUUUAUUGUGUCCUAUUUUCUUUGCAUUUGUUUAUCACCACAUUUAUAUUUCUCUAGAAGUUACAGUAUUAGUAAUUGCUCAACCCACGUUUCCGCAAC
This 5230-nucleotide long non-coding RNA is filed under the name Citrus sinensis (sweet orange). RNAcentral's name for it is "long non-coding RNA (CSIN_LNC001809)". Lineage: Eukaryota; Viridiplantae; Streptophyta; Magnoliopsida; Sapindales; Rutaceae. The record is from RNAcentral.